This 3813-nucleotide long non-coding RNA is filed under the name Olea europaea subsp. europaea. Lineage: Eukaryota; Viridiplantae; Streptophyta; Magnoliopsida; Lamiales; Oleaceae. The record is from RNAcentral.
CUAGUACAGUUUCUCCCUGCUUCAUAUUUAAUUUGAACUUCCGUCUUUAAGCAGAUGAGGUAGAUACUUCCGUUUUUAUUGAAAAUGGUGUGUAAAAAUUUAUUGACGUUUUGAAACAUUUGAGUUGAAAUAUUGUUUUGUACAUGUAUUAUGAAAUUAUGUUUCUUUAAAAUUAUUUUGAAUAACUAGUGGUUUAUUCCAAUGGCACUAAAGAAGAAGCCACCGCUCCUGGGCUGUAUGAUUAGUCCUAUCACGCAGCCGAUCACUGUACCUAGCACUCGGCUUGAACCCACAAUGUAGCUAGCAGUUGCCACCCAGCAUAAUCCACUACACUCACGGAGAUAGGUAAUUCUAUUUAUUUAGUUCUAAAUUCUAUUUUUUAUUUAUUAACAUCAUAUUCUUUUACACAUGUAGUGCCACCACUCAAACAUAGGCAUCGCGGUCAUACUCAUGGCAUAGGCACAUCCUAGAUAGUCAAGGCCACUUGUAGAAAGCUAGAAAUGAUUUAUGAAGACACUAUGGGCGACCUAAUGGUCCUAAUGCUAGUCGAUUUGUAUUUGAAAUAGGAGCUGGUGUCCAAAUAUUUGCACCUCUCCAAAAGGUCUUUUGGAAAGAUGUGACUGAAUUUGAAAAGCCCCCUAUUUAUGACAAAGUGGAGGUAACGUUAAAACAAAACUUCUUAAACUACAUUCAUAUGUUUAGGUUGCUUAUAAACUGAACUUCUUGAACUAUAUGAAAUCAAACCAAUUUGAAAUUAUUUCAUUUAAUUUAUAAGUUGCAUAUUGAAUAUGAUGGCAUAAGGUCGUUAUUUUGGUAACCUUUUUCUGUGCAUUUUAAAAUUUUGUCAACUAAACAGAAUAUAAAAAAAGUAACUUUUUUAAUGUGUACCAUUGAGAAAUGAUGUGUAGCAAGUCCAGUGUUGUUGAGAUUAUUCUGUAAUCUGGUUCUUAGUUUUGCAUGUUAACAGUCAGUCCACAAACAUAAACAACCAGUCCACAGAACACAUAAAAAAGAACAAGAAAAUUGUCCAGAUAUGUAUGUUACGUAAUAACUGUCAACUGAUGUCGUGACUUCACAAUAAAAUAGGCAUAUAAUACGCUGUUUCCAUGAUUUUUAUGUCAUACAUAAGUUUAUAAAUUAGUAAUUCCUUUGUGAUUCCUAAUUGGUUCUCCCGGUUUUUCUGUUUCAACUUUACUCACUUUAUUGUUUUUAACCAUGUAGAGCCUGAACGAAAUAUAAUAUUCUUCUUAUAUACCCUUGUUUUAACUCUGAAUCCUGUAAUGCAACAAUAAAUUUUCCAUGCAUGUCAGUUCUCUGCACUGCAAUUCUUUGAUCCUGAACAAUCCAAAUGCUUCUCGGCCUUUGCUUAAAUUAGGCACAUUACUAUUCUUUUUGCAUAGAACCCAUUUGAACCUGCCUCAAUGAUGAGUCGACUCUCUUUUUAUGUAUUAUUUCAAACACUUAUCAUAUCUCUUUUCACACUAUAUGUUGCUGUAUAUAGAUUAUUUUUGUCUUAUAUUAUGAUAAAUGUGCAACUCUUAAAGAGUUCAUGGAGAAAUCAACGGCCACUUCCUUUAAGGUGUUUCGGUAUGAGUUGCACACAGUGGUGGAUCCAGCAUUCGGUGAGCACCGGCGACCGUGCUUUCUAAUCCGUUGGGAACAAAAUUUUUUGUUAAAUAUAGAUAAAAUUUUUUGGUUAUAUAUCAAGUAAUUCAUUUUAUUAGAAGUCAUUGGAUCGUGUCUCUUCCAAAAAAAAUUAUUUGCAAGUUUUCUAGUUCUACAAUUUUUAACAAAAUUAAUGCGAUCGGGAGGGGAUUCAAACCUUUGAACCCUCUUUAAAAUUAUUGAAAGCUUGACCAUUAUGGCACUCAUUGAAUUUUAAUACUAAAUGUAACAAAAUAAUAUAUGUUUCAAGUUUAGUGGUUUUAAUGCCAUUAGAAAGAUUCGAACCAGUGCUCUUCAUUUGAAUUAUACAAAAUUUGGCCACUAUAUCAAGUGGUGAAUAUUAUUAAUAUAUAUGACAUAAUUAAUAUAUAUUCAAUUUUAGCAAAAUAACUGUUAUAUUUAAUUUUUAAUAUUUUAUUGCGGCCAACGAUCAACGGUCAACGGCCACCCGUGCUCACUCAAAAUCUUGCAUCCGCCACUGGCUGUACAUGCAUUAAAAUGAGUAUUUAGACCAACCAAUGGCUCACGGGAAAGCAAAUAAGCCUAAAGAAGUUCGUGACCAGGCUGAUUGGGAUUGUUUGUGUGACUAUUAGGAAAGUGAAUAGUUUUAGGUGCAUUUAUGUACAUUUUCACUUGCAUUUAUGUUCUUUUGUUACCUUAUUUAGGCUAUUGACUAUUUUCAAUUUUAUUUAACUGUACAUCACAGGAAAGAUCCAAGGUUGCAGUUGAAAAUAGAUCGCAAUGAGAGUUUACCUAUUUUUUUGGUUCUAGAUUCUUUAUUCGAUAUCAAGCUAUAGAGGUAUAUAAGAAGUUAAAAAUAUCCAUUUAUGUUGGGAAAUAAUUUCAAUUCAAUUAAAUCUUAUUCUUCUUAUAAUAGGAUAAUAGAAUUGGACGACCAAACAUAAUUCAAUUAUGGAAAAACACACAUUAUGAGGAUAUUAAAUGCUAGAUCCAUCCGUGUGGUUGAGAAAUAUGUAAUGAACAAAUAUUUAUGUAUUUACUUUAACUUUAUUAUUACUAGAAUAAAUAUUUUACCGUCAUAUUUGUAUUAAUAAUUUUCUAUUGUCAUGCAGAAGGAGAUAAUAGACAUACAAAUCACAUAAGAGGCACAUGUUGAGGAAGGAGAGUGAGAGUCAAGGAGUAUAGCUCACUGCUGAUGAAAUCGCGACUCAAGUCCUUGGCACUAUUUCUUGCUACUUUAGGGGAUUGGGUAGGGGCCCAAAGAUUCCACGUGCUACAUCUCGCAUGAACACAACACAACAAGAGAAUGCUAAACUUCGCCAAGUCAUGCAUAACUUGUAGAGCUGGAAUGAGCGUAUCCUUGCCUUUUGAGAGGAGAUAAUGACAGGUGUUACUGCAAGAAUCCUUGGCACUAUUUCUUGCUACUAUAGGGGAUUGGGUAGGGGCCCAAAGAUUCCACGUGCUACAUCUAGCACGAACACAACACAACAAGAGAAUGCUAAACUUCGCCAAGCCAUGCAUAACUUGUAGAGCUGGAAUGAGCGUAUUCUCGCCUUUUGAGAGGAGAUAAUGCCAGAUGUUAUUGCUAGAAUCCUUGGCACUAUUUCUUGCUACUAUAGGGGAUUGGGUAGGGGCCCAAAGAUUCCACGUGCUACAUCUCGCACGAACACAAUAAGAGAAUGCUAAACUUCGCCAAGUCAUGCAUAACUUGUAGAGCUGGAAUGAGCGUAGUCUCGCCUUUUGAGAGGAGAUAAUGCCAGGUGUUACUGCAAGAAUAUCAGCCCAAGAGUGCCCACUACUCAUCCAUCAACAUCACUUGAUCAUGAGUCACAUGAUGAUCAUUAAUUUAAAGUUCUUCAUCGCAUUUACAUGUUUUUAAAUCUUCAUGGUUGAUACUCUAUUAUUGCAUAUGCUACUAUUUUUUACUACACUGGUCUUCUCAUUUUUGGAUCUUGACUAGGUCUUUUAUUGCCUAUGCUAUUAUUUUGGACUACACCUGCAAAUAUAGUUACUCAUAUUUUGGAAUUAGAAGUGAAUUAUAAAGGUACAAUAUAUUAUUUUACCUUGUACAGAUGGUUUGUUGGCUUUUGAAUUAUGACUAUUGUGUUGUGAUUUAUGAUAUAUUUUGAUUUUGAUUUUUGUUGGUGCAUUGUGUUGUAGAUAGGCUUUCAAUUUUUUGAAAUUUUG